Molecule: long non-coding RNA, 374 nt
Filed under: Callithrix jacchus (white-tufted-ear marmoset)
Lineage: Eukaryota; Metazoa; Chordata; Mammalia; Primates; Cebidae
Description: lncRNA (ENSCJAG00000078807.1)
Source: RNAcentral
GGUGUCUUGUGCAGCGCGGUGUCAGCAGGAGUCAGAUGUCAGCUGAUGUCAGCUGAUGGCAGAUUUGGUUGUCAGCCGUAGCGCUGUCAUCCUCCCGCCACAUGACUAGCAGAGAAGUGAGUCUGAGAAGCAUAAAAAAGUAAACAGGAACAGAGGCAGGCCCGGGAGGUGGAGACACUGCUGCCCGGGCUUUCACAGCCUUUCAUCUGCAUCUGUCCUUUUCCAAGAUUUGGUAACAUUCCUAUCGGAGAGAUUCACUGCCCUGAGCCAGCUCAGAAACUGUGGGGGACAUGGAUGAAUCUGGAGAACAUCAUCCUCAGCAAACUGACACAAGAACAGAAAAUGAAACACCGCAUAUUCUCACUCAUAGGUGG